AAUGAUGGUGAGCCAAUUAGAAGAUCGAUAUGUUAUAGCACUCACCUACUUUAAUGAUUAACAUCGUUAACGUCAAACAUUUCUCAUUUAAUUAGCUGUUAAGAGAUCUAAAUCUAAAAUUAUUAAAUCAAACUGUACGUUGAGAUACCAUUUUUAGGGGAGAGAGUCGUAACAGUAAAUAAAAUAAAAGUGUAUUUAUUACUCCUUAAGUCCUUUAUGCUCUUCUGUUCUGAUGUGAUUCUUCUUUUGCAUGUAUCUCAUAGAUUGAUUUGUAUAAACACACAAGAAAGAACCAUCACCAUGCCUUCGGAGUUAACUCAGGAAGAACGAUCCGCCCUCGCACAAUCCAUCGCCGAGUUCCACACUUACCAGCUCGGUCCAGGAAGCUGCUCCUCGCUCCACGCGCAGCGAAUCAACGCGCCGCCGGAGAUCGUCUGGUCAGUCGUCCGUCAGUUCGACAAACCGCAGACCUACAAACACUUCAUCAAAUCCUGCUCCGUCGAGGAAGGAUUCGAGAUGCGUGUUGGAUGCACGCGCGACGUGAUCGUGAUCAGUGGAUUGCCGGCGAACACGUCGACGGAGAGGCUCGAUAUACUCGACGACGAGAGGCGAGUGACGGGGUUCAGCAUCAUCGGAGGAGAGCAUAGGCUGGUGAAUUACAAGUCGGUGACGACGGUGCACAGGUUCGAGAAGGAGAGACGGGUAUGGACGGUGGUGCUCGAGUCGUACGUCGUGGAUAUGCCGGAAGGGAACUCGGAAGACGAUACAAGAAUGUUCGCUGAUACUGUCGUUAAACUGAAUCUGCAGAAAUUGGCAACUGUCACCGAAGCCAUGGCUCGUAACGCCGCCGGUGAGCGAGGCGGUUCUCAGGUGACUUAGAAAACAAAAUUAUAUGGAAAGAAGAUGAAAAAUGAAAAUUGUUUUUUCUAAAAUUACUUUGUUGGGAAAUGUUAUUUACGAUGCUUUCAUAUAAGAUUCUACACUUUUGUCUGUUUUAACCUCAAAGUUAUUUAGUAUCCAUUUAAGUCUAAAGGUUAUUUUGGACAUUGAGCAUUCCGGAUAAGUAGGAAUCGUUUCCUCUUUUGGUAAGUUAUAUUUCUGCGCGUCUUAGUCAAAACUUUCGUCUACGCAACUAACUCUCAUACAAACCAUACUAGAAAUGUAGAGAUAAUGGUUUCUCGUGAUAUUUUUAUUUUUGGUUAGUUAUAUCGUGAUAAAUUUUUUCACGUGUAUUUCUUCUUUUGUGUAGGUUGAUUUUUCACGUUUAUUUUGUUGCACUGUACACGUUAUCCGUGUUAAAUUAAAUGUAACUAUUUGUUUUGGAUCAAAACUGUUACUAUUUUACUUUUGCUUUACAGUAGUAAAAUGAUUGGGUUUUCUUCUUAAAGAGAGCAGUGAAAUAAAUGUACUUUUGGUGUUUAUAUAAAACUACAAAAUAUAAAAAACUAGGGUAAACCCGCCCUACGGGCAUGUGACCAAGUAAAAAACAAAUAAUACAAAUUUAUUUUAAAUGUUUUUCGGUCAAUUUAUUUUAAAAUUUUAAUUUACUUUUAACUAAAAAUAGUACUAAAGUUCAUAUAUUUUACAGCAAUUUUAACUGUUCAUAUUAGAAAUUAUACUUGUCUAAUUAUUAUAAAAUUGUAAAAAAAACUUAUUUUUAUUUUUUUAUACAUUUUAAAAAUCUAAGGAUUUCACGAUAUAAAAAAAUAAAUUAUUCAUUAUAACUAAAAAUAUUUUAAGAUAGUUAAAUAGAAAAGUAUGAAACUAUUGUUACUCUUUAUACAUAUACAUCUUUGUUAGAAUAUUAUAUGUAUUAUCAUAUAUUAAAACAAAGUUAACCAUGUUAUUAAAAUAAAUAUUACUGUCUAGCUUAUAAUAUAUAAUCUUUACAAUAUUUAAUUAUAUAUUUACUAUAUUGAUUGUGUUUUGUUAUUGAAUACAAUUAUUUCUUUUCUUUAUUAUAGAUUCAUAUAUAUUAAUCUUAUACACAUAUUUAAAUUAAUAUAAUUUAGUAUAAGAUUCUUAUUUGAAAUAUUAGUAAUAGAAAUUUAUUAAAUCUACUAUUCGUUUAGAUUUUUGAUGAAAAAGCGGUUUUUAAUUUAUUAAAAUAUCCAUUUAAGUAUUUAAUAAACAAAAGACAUAUAAUUAGUUUCUAAAGAUAAUUUUUGAAAUCAAAUAAUGUUUUAAAUAGUUAUAAAGCUUAUGUAAGGAAAAUUGUAUUUAAUUAAAGUGCUGAAAAUAGAUAAAGUUUCUGAAAUAUAGGAAAAGAGUGUUUACAAAUGUGUAUAAAUAAGCUGUAUUUUGACUACGAUUCUUGCGUUGCUUUCCAAAGACUCGUUUUAACUUACCAAAAUGCUACGAUACAACAACGUCUUGGUUCCAAUUUGUAUUGAGAAUUCGUCAACUAUUUAUAUUCAGUGAACACAAAAAUGAUUUCUUUGGUCCAGUCUCUGACUCUGUUUUUGUAAUGAGGAUCUUAAUUAUUUAGUUAUUAGUAACAUUUUGGAGAAUGAGAUGUGAAUAUGUAAGGGGGAAAACGGCUGAUUAUUUGCCAAACUCGUGUAUUUGAGAUCAGUAACUUUUUAAAACUCGAUGUAUAUCCUUGCAGAGUCCGGAGUGAUGGGUGGUUAUGUAUCUUGUUGGGUUAACCUGAUACGACUGUUGGAGGAAGAAACAUUGUUUUAGGUUUUAAAAAUGUUGGCUUUUAUUGUGUUACAAAUUGACCAAAAUUAGCUUUAAAAAACAAUAUGAUUGGAAUAUGUUUAAGGUA
RNA transcript from Brassica napus (rape), 2770 nucleotides. It is a transcript of the gene named abscisic acid receptor PYR1, with no coding region annotated. Lineage: Eukaryota; Viridiplantae; Streptophyta; Magnoliopsida; Brassicales; Brassicaceae. The transcript has 3 exons. The record is from RefSeq and is a predicted model, not a curated record.